CGUGAGAUGUUGGGUUAAGUCCCGCAACGAGCGCAACCCUUGCCAUUAGUUGCUACGAAAGGGCACUCUAAUGGGACUGCCGGUGACAAACCGGAGGAAGGUGGGGAUGACGUCAGGUCAUCAUGGCCCUUAUGGGUAGGGCUACACACGUCAUACAAUGGCCGGUACAGGAGGGCUGCCAACCCGCGAGGGGGAGCCAAUCCCAGAAAACCGGUCGUAGUCCGGAUCGUAGUCUGCAACUCGACUGCG
Molecule: ribosomal RNA, 249 nt
Filed under: uncultured bacterium
Lineage: Bacteria
Description: partial 16S ribosomal RNA
Rfam family: Bacterial small subunit ribosomal RNA
Source: RNAcentral